Long non-coding RNA from Morus notabilis, 558 nucleotides. RefSeq lists it as uncharacterized. NCBI's taxonomy places the organism in Eukaryota, Viridiplantae, Streptophyta, Magnoliopsida, Rosales, Moraceae. The transcript has 3 exons. The record is from RefSeq and is a predicted model, not a curated record.
ACGUUCUUUAUUUUUCAUUUUGAGAACAGCAAUGGAAAGUUUUAAUAGAAUGAUUAGCAUUUGCGGAUGGAAAGCUGGCUGAUUUUGUUGCACUGAGAAAACUGAGAGAAAUCUUGCUCCCAUUGGACCAUUUGUAUCUAUAUGCAUUAGGAUCCCGAUUCAUGGAUCUCUCGGUUCGAGAAAUAAAAAUAAGAGGAUCGAACCAUUUCUUCUGACUCUUUUUCAAACGUAGCUGGAACAAGUAAUCACUGGGGAUGGCAACGGGGUGGGAUUGAGACUGAUAUGAUAUUAAAAAACAAUACACUACUGGUAGAGUUACUUUCUCAAGAGAACAAGUUCCAUAAACAAAGGUGUGAUGCACUUGAAAUCCUCAGCUCAUAUAUAUCACUUCCUAAGGUUCAGCUCUAAUGCCAAUGCGCUCAUGUAAAAGAUCGGAUAUCUGUUUGUCUUUGUACCUUGUCUAUAGAAUGUCUUGUAUAGUAAUGGAUGGCAAUUUAACAUGUUAGCAAAAGUGCCAGAGUUGCUAGUAUUGUUAUCAACUCUUUGCAUGAUUAAACU